GACGAACGCUGGCGGCGUGCUUAACACAUGCAAGUCGAACGGAAAGGCCCUGCUUUUGUGGGGUGCUCGAGUGGCGAACGGGUGAGUAACACGUGAGUAACCUGCCCUUGACUUUGGGAUAACUUCAGGAAACUGGGGCUAAUACCGGAUAGGAGCUCCUGCUGCAUGGUGGUGGUUGGAAAGUUUCGGCGGUUGGGGAUGGACUCGCGGCUUAUCAGCUUGUUGGUGGGGUAGUGGCUUACCAAGGCUUUGACGGGUAGCCGGCCUGAGAGGGUGACCGGCCACAUUGGGACUGAGAUACGGACCAGACUCCUACGGGAGGCAGCAGUGGGGAAUAUUGCACAAUGGGCGGAAGCCUGAUGCAGCAACGCCGCGUGCGGGAUGACGGCUUUCGGGUUGUAAACCGCUUUCGCCUGUGACGAAGCGUGAGUGACGGUAAUGGGUAAAGAAGCAACGGCUAACUACGUG
RNAcentral lists this ribosomal RNA (468 nucleotides) under uncultured bacterium. RNAcentral describes it as "partial 16S ribosomal RNA". It matches the Rfam family "Bacterial small subunit ribosomal RNA", at positions 28 to 507 of the family's 1533-position model. The record is from RNAcentral.